AGUGCACAUGAUGGAUGCCUUGGCGAUUACAGGCGACGAAAGACGUUAUAACCUGCGAUAAGCCCCGGGGAGCUGGUAAAUAAGCUUUGAUCCGGGGAUUUCUGAAUGGGGAAACCCACCACUUUUGUGGUAUCCAUACCUGAAUACAUAGGGUAUGAGAAGCGAACCUUGUGAACUGAAACAUCUAAGUAGCAAGAGGAAAAGACAUCAACCGAGAUUCCCAGAGUAGUGGCGAGCGAAAUGGGAACAGCCUUCUAGUGAUAUCUCAGUAAUUAACAGAAUGGAAUGGAAAGUCCAACAAUAAAGGGUGAUAGUCCCGUAUGUGAAAAUUAUUGAGUGGUACUAGGCUAGAGACAAGUAGGGCGGGACACGUGAAAUCCUGUCUGAAUAUGGGGGGACCAUCCUCCAAGGCUAAAUACUCGUAAUCGACCGAUAGUGAACAAGUACCGUGAGGGAAAGGCGAAAAGAACCCCGGGAGGGGAGUGAAAUAGAUCCUGAAAUUGUGUGCAUACAAACAGUAGGAGCCUCGUAAGGGGUGACUGCGUACCUUUUGUAUAAUGGGUCAGCGACUUACAUGUAGUAGCAAGCUUAACCGAAUAGGGGAGGCGCAGGGAAACCGAGUCCGAAUAGGGCGUUUUAGUUGCUAGGUGUAGACCCGAAACCGAGUGAUCUAUCCAUGGCCAGGUUGAAGGUGCGGUAACACGCACUGGAGGACCGAACCCACUAAUGUUGCAAAAUUAGGGGAUGAGCUGUGGAUAGGGGUGAAAGGCUAAUCAAACUCGGAGAUAGCUGGUUCUCCCCGAAAACUAUUUAGGUAGUGCCUCAAGAUACACUGACGGGGGUAAAGCACUGUUAUGGCUAGGGGAUCAUUGCGAUUUACCAAACCAUGGCAAACUCAGAAUACCGUCAAGUGGUUUCUUGGGAGACAGACAUCGGGUGCUAACGUCCGGUGUCAAGAGGGAAACAACCCAGACCGCCAGCUAAGGUCCCGAAUAAUCAACUCAGUGGUAAACGAAGUGGGAAGGCACAGACAGCCAGGAUGUUGGCUUAGAAGCAGCCAUCAUUUAAAGAAAGCGUAAUAGCUCACUGGUCAAGUCGUCCUGCGCGGAAGAUGUAACGGGGCUUAAGUUGAUAACCGAAGCUGCGGAUGGAUGCAGCAAUGUGUCCAUGGUAGGGGAGCGUUCCGUAGGUCCGUGAAGGUGUGCCGUAAGGCAUGCUGGAGAUAUCGGAAGUGCGAAUGCUGACAUGAGUAACGUUAAAGCGGGUGAAAAGCCCGCUCGCCGUAAGCCCAAGGCUUCCUACGCAACGUUCAUCGGCGUAGGGUUAGUCGGUCCCUAAGGCAAGGCUGAAAAGCGUAGUCGAUGGGAAACAGGUUAAUAUUCCUGUACUGAAUACAAGUGCGAUGUGGGGACGAAGAAAGUUAGGUCAGCGACCUGUUGGAUGGUCGUUUAAGCUGGUAGGUGGACUGCAUUGGCAAAUCCGUGCAGUUGCUAACACCGAGACGUGAUGACGAGGAUCUACGGAUCUGAAGUGACUGAUACUCUGCUUCCAGGAAAAGCCACUAAGCUUCAGCUUGUAUGCAACCGUACCGCAAACCAACACUGGUGGGCAGGAUGAAAAUUCUAAGGCGCUUGAGAGAACUCAGGAGAAGGAACUCGGCAAAUUGAUACCGUAACUUCGGGAGAAGGUAUGCCUCAUUAGUGUGUAAGAGCUCGCCUCUGAAGCACGAAGAGGCCGCAGAGAAUCGGUGGCUGCGACUGUUUAAUAAAAACAUAGCACUGUGCUAACACGUAAGUGGACGUAUACGGUGUGACGCCUGCCCGGUGCUGGAAGGUUAAAUGAAGGGGUGCAAGCUCCGGAUUGAAGCCCCAGUAAACGGCGGCCGUAACUAUAACGGUCCUAAGGUAGCGAAAUUCCUUGUCGGGUAAGUUCCGACCCGCACGAAUGGCGUAACGAUGGCCAUACUGUCUCCUCCUGAGACUCAGUGAAGUUGAAAUGGUUGUGAAGAUGCAAUCUCCCCGCUGCUAGACGGAAAGACCCCGUGAACCUUUACUGUAGCUUUGCAUUGGAAUUUGAACAGGCUUGUGUAGGAUAGGUGGGAGGCUAAGAAGCUGAAACGCCAGUUUCAGUGGAGCCAACCUUGAAAUACCACCCUGGUAUGUUUGGAUUUCUAACCUUGAUCCGUGAUCCGGAUUGGAGACAGUGCAUGGUGGGCAGUUUGACUGGGGCGGUCUCCUCCCAAAUUGUAACGGAGGAGUUCGAAGGUUACCUAGAUACGGUCGGAAAUCGUAUUGAUUGUGCAAUGGCAAAAGGUAGCUUAACUGCGAGACUGACAAGUCGAGCAGGUGCGAAAGCAGGACAUAGUGAUCCGGUGGUUCUGUAUGGAAGGGCCAUCGCUCAACGGAUAAAAGGUACUCCGGGGAUAACAGGCUAAUUCCGCCCAAGAGUUCAUAUCGACGGCGGCGUUUGGCACCUCGAUGUCGGCUCAUCACAUCCUGGGGCUGUAGUAGGUCCCAAGGGUAUGGCUGUUCGCCAUUUAAAGUGGUACGUGAGCUGGGUUUAAAACGUCGUGAGACAGUUUGGUCCCUAUCUGCAGUGGGCAUUGGAAGUUUGACGGGGGCUGCUCCUAGUACGAGAGGACCGGAGUGGACGUACCGCUGGUGUACCGGUUGUAACGCCAGUUGCAUAGCCGGGUAGCUAAGUACGGAAAAGAUAACCGCUGAAAGCAUCUAAGCGGGAAACUUGCCUGAAGAUAAGACUUCCCUGGGGACGCGAUCCCCCUGAAGAGCCGUGGUAGACCACCACGUUGA
This 2810-nucleotide ribosomal RNA is filed under the name Spirostomum sp. Valltjaern. Its description in RNAcentral is "bacterial LSU rRNA". It matches the Rfam family "Bacterial large subunit ribosomal RNA". The record is from RNAcentral. Lineage: Eukaryota; Ciliophora; Heterotrichea; Heterotrichida; Spirostomidae.